This 395-nucleotide ribosomal RNA is filed under the name uncultured bacterium. Its description in RNAcentral is "bacterial SSU rRNA". It matches the Rfam family "Bacterial small subunit ribosomal RNA", at positions 30 to 422 of the family's 1533-position model. The record is from RNAcentral.
AUUGAACGCUGGCGGCAUGCCUUACACAUGCAAGUCGAACGGCAGCACGGGAGCUUGCUCCUGGUGGCGAGUGGCGAACGGGUGAGUAAUACAUCGGAACGUACCCUGAAGUGGGGGAUAACGUAGCGAAAGUUACGCUAAUACCGCAUAUUCUGUGAGCAGGAAGGAGGGGGAUCGCAAGACCUCUUGCUUUAGGAGCGGCCGAUGUCGGAUUAGCUAGUUGGUGAGGUAAAGGCUCACCAAGGCGACGAUCCGUAGCGGGUCUGAGAGGAUGAUCCGCCACACUGGGACUGAGACACGGCCCAGACUCCUACGGGAGGCAGCAGUGGGGAAUUUUGGACAAUGGGCGGCAAGACCUGAUCCAGCCAUGCGCGUGAGUGAAGAAGGACCUGUGU